GCUGCUGUAGCUCAGUGGUGGAGCACGUCCUUGGUAAGGACGAGGCCAUGGGUUCGAAUCCCAUCAGCAGCUCCA
This 75-nucleotide transfer RNA is filed under the name Candidatus Woesearchaeota archaeon. RNAcentral describes it as "tRNA-Thr". It matches the Rfam family "tRNA". Rfam says of the family: Transfer RNA (tRNA) molecules are approximately 80 nucleotides in length. Their secondary structure includes four short double-helical elements and three loops (D, anti-codon, and T loops). The record is from RNAcentral. Lineage: Archaea; Nanobdellati; Candidatus Woesearchaeota.